UACGUAGGGCGCAAGCGUUGUCCGGAAUUAUUGGGCGUAAAGAGCUCGUAGGCGGCUUGUCACGUCGGGUGUGAAAGCCCGGGGCUUAACCCCGGGUCUGCAUUCGAUACAGGCUAGCUAGAGUGUGGUAGGGGAGAUCGGAAUUCCUGGUGUAGCGGUGAAAUGCGCAGAUAUCAGGAGGAACACCGGUGGCGAAGGCGCCACUCUGGGCCGAAACUGACGCUGAGGAGCGAAAGCGUGGGUAGCAAACAGG
RNAcentral lists this ribosomal RNA (253 nucleotides) under uncultured bacterium. RNAcentral describes it as "partial 16S ribosomal RNA". It matches the Rfam family "Bacterial small subunit ribosomal RNA", at positions 524 to 776 of the family's 1533-position model. The record is from RNAcentral.